Vicia faba (fava bean) is the source of this 246-nucleotide non-coding RNA. Lineage: Eukaryota; Viridiplantae; Streptophyta; Magnoliopsida; Fabales; Fabaceae. The record is from the annotation of a GenBank genome assembly.
AUGAACUCUGAAAAUGGUGAAAAUGAGUGCGUGAAGAAGAAGAAUGAGUUAAGUAGUUAUGUUAGGGUUUCUGUUAGUUAUUGUUUUCAUGGUAGGGCGGGAACUUUGGUUUAUUUGUUUGACAUGUUUAUGGACAGUGUAGAUGUAGGUCAUGGUUGGGACUGGACUGUUUUGAUGUUUGGAACUGGUAUUGCUUGGUAUUUGUGUGUGUUGCAUGUUAUAGCCAUGGCAGAUGAUGGUUCUUAA